UCAGCCUAGGACUCCAGCACAUGACCUCACUUCCUUGGUGACAGGUCCAAACAGACCUUGGAACCCUGUCACCAGGCACCACGGUCUAGCGCCAACUGCCCUCCCAGUCACUUGGCUGGAAAUAGGCAGCAGCGAACAUGCUGUGCUGCUUUCCCAGGCCUCCAGGCCGCAGCCUCGGACCCCACGCAGGGAAACCACUUGCCAACGAGUGAGAGGAUGGUUCACUCGGCCCAGAAGCUUCAGGACCCUCAUCAGGAACCACCCAACAGUCACGGGCAGCCCAGGGCAGGUCUCACCAGACCCAGCCCCCAGAUGCCCAGAGACGAGAGAGAGCCCAGGGCAGGUGUCCCGAGGCCUGACUUUCAUCUGCUCAGAGGCACCGAAUCCACUACAGGUCUAUGUAGACCUGGACACCACUAUGGGAAAUCAGUAUUCCCAGAGCCUGGCAGAGGGCUGCACAGCGAGCAAGGUGCAGGCAAAUGCACUGCACACCCUGACAGAGGCCCCAGAACAGGACUUCCUGGAUAGGAAGAGCAGUGCCAGCUCCAGCCUCCGAUGAAGUCCCACCUGCUGACCUCCUGCCCACUCCACCUGCAGCUCCCUCACCAGCUCUGGCCCCACAACGAGAGCCAACACCUGGAACCUCUUCACCAGCUGCAGAGCUGGAACUCCUGGUGGCUCAACAGCAGAUCUCAUCUCUUGAACUCUACAGGGAGGUCUACAGAGCUCUUGACCCACACCCGCCAUUCCCCUCUCUUACUGAUUUACUUAUUAUUGUAUUUAUUGCUACCCUUAUUUCUCAGAGAUAAGUCAAUGAUAGAAUUAAUGUAAAUAAAAUUUAAGAUUUUUGUCUUGUUUAAAAUGAUCAGCUCACUGCAUUCUCAGUCAUUUGCAAUGUUGUGCAACCUUCACCACUGUCCCAUUCUACAAC
Molecule: long non-coding RNA, 931 nt
Filed under: Heterocephalus glaber (naked mole-rat)
Lineage: Eukaryota; Metazoa; Chordata; Mammalia; Rodentia; Bathyergidae
Description: lncRNA (ENSHGLG00100032417.2)
Source: RNAcentral